Molecule: ribosomal RNA, 427 nt
Filed under: uncultured bacterium
Lineage: Bacteria
Description: partial 16S ribosomal RNA
Rfam family: Bacterial small subunit ribosomal RNA
Source: RNAcentral
UGGGAAAUAUUGGACAAUGGGCGAAAGCCUGAUCCAGCCAUGCCGCGUGUGUGAAGAAGGUCUUCGGAUUGUAAAGCACUUUAAGUUGGGAGGAAGGGCAUUAACCUAAUACGUUAGUGUUUUGACGUUACCGACAGAAUAAGCACCGGCUAACUCUGUGCCAGCAGCCGCGGUAAUACAGAGGGUGCAAGCGUUAAUCGGAAUUACUGGGCGUAAAGCGCGCGUAGGUGGUUUGUUAAGUUGGAUGUGAAAUCCCCGGGCUCAACCUGGGAACUGCAUUCAAAACUGACUGACUAGAGUAUGGUAGAGGGUGGUGGAAUUUCCUGUGUAGCGGUGAAAUGCGUAGAUAUAGGAAGGAACACCAGUGGCGAAGGCGACCACCUGGACUAAUACUGACACUGAGGUGCGAAAGCGUGGGGAGCAAACA